UUUGACGUGAAGGUACAUAUUUGUGAUACCCACCCCCAGUUACUCAGUUGGUCACCUGUCCAAGUGACUACUAGCUCUGUUCAUAGUCUUUUGACCAUUGGAACAGUUUUUAAUUUGUGCUUUUGAAGUCUUUGCCUUUGCUAAAUUUCUUUUCCUCAAUGAAGAGGGCAAAUCAACACCAAUUGCUAAAAUAAGUCAUAUUAAGUUUAUCACACAUCUUUCAAUUUAUUAUUCUCUCUAAUGAGUAAUAUCAUAUAUUUUUCACCAUGGCAAGCUCAAAGAUUCAAUUCAAAAGGAAAUUCCCAAAAAAGAAUACAACUCACUGCAAUUGAUUCAACUUAGGUUUAAAGAGUCAUCACAUCAAUGAGGUCAUGGAAAGAAAGCUCUUUCAACAUAGCCUAUGUGUUUAAGUAAAGCAAACCAAAACAAAACUAAAUAAAAAACUGUGGCUACAUGUGUGUGCAAUAAAAGCAAAAAUAACAAAAAAUGAAAAAAAAAUUCAAACUGUG
This 509-nucleotide long non-coding RNA is filed under the name Manihot esculenta (cassava). RNAcentral's name for it is "long non-coding RNA (MESC_LNC011113)". Lineage: Eukaryota; Viridiplantae; Streptophyta; Magnoliopsida; Malpighiales; Euphorbiaceae. The record is from RNAcentral.